GACGAACGCUGGCGGCGUGCUUAACACAUGCAAGUCGAACGGAAAGGCCCUGCUUUUGUGGGGUGCUCGAGUGGCGAACGGGUGAGUAACACGUGAGUAACCUGCCCUUGACUUUGGGAUAACUUCAGGAAACUGGGGCUAAUACCGGAUAGGAGCUCCUGCUGCAUGGUGGGGGUUGGAAAGUUUCGGCGGUUGUGGAUGGACUCGCGGCUUAUCAGCUUGUUGGUGGGGUAGUGGCUUACCAAGGCUUUGACGGGUAGCCGGCCUGAGAGGGUGACCGGCGACAUGGGGACUGAGAGACGGCCCAGACGCCUACGUGAGGCAGCAGUGGGGAGUAUUGCACAAUGGGCGGAAGCCUGAUGCAGCAACGCCGCGUGCGGGAUGACGGCCUUCGGGUUGUAAACCGCUUUCGCCUGUGACGAAGCGUGAGUGACGGUAAUGGGUAAAGAAGCACCAGCUAACUACGUG
RNAcentral lists this ribosomal RNA (468 nucleotides) under uncultured bacterium. RNAcentral's name for it is "partial 16S ribosomal RNA". It matches the Rfam family "Bacterial small subunit ribosomal RNA", at positions 28 to 507 of the family's 1533-position model. The record is from RNAcentral.